This is a regulatory RNA element of Nitrobacter sp. Nb-311A, 48 nucleotides long. It matches the Rfam family "chrB-b RNA". Lineage: Bacteria; Pseudomonadati; Pseudomonadota; Alphaproteobacteria; Hyphomicrobiales; Nitrobacteraceae. The record is from Rfam.
AGGGGAUAGGCAGACUCCCCGAUCAGACGGUUUCCGUCCAAACUCUGC